UUUGAGGGAAGCUGCUCCUAGUACGAGAGGACCGGAGUGGACGAUCCUCUGGUGUUCCGGUUGUCACGCCAGUGGCAUUGCCGGGUAGCUAUGAUCGGACAGGAUAACCGCUGAAAGCAUCUAAGCGGGAAGCCCCUCCCAAGAUUAGAUCUCACUGGAGCCUCGAGCUCCCUGAAGGUCCGUCGAAGACUACGACGUUGAUAGGCUGGGUGUGGAAGCGUAGUAAUGCGUGAAGCUAACCAGUACUAAUUGACCGUGAGGCUUGACCAUAUAACACCCAAG
This 282-nucleotide ribosomal RNA is filed under the name Gammaproteobacteria bacterium. RNAcentral describes it as "partial 23S ribosomal RNA". It matches the Rfam family "Bacterial large subunit ribosomal RNA", at positions 2661 to 2925 of the family's 2925-position model. Lineage: Bacteria; Pseudomonadati; Pseudomonadota; Gammaproteobacteria. The record is from RNAcentral.